Long non-coding RNA from Aricia agestis (brown argus), 84 nucleotides. RefSeq lists it as uncharacterized. The transcript is spliced from 3 exons. NCBI's taxonomy places the organism in Eukaryota, Metazoa, Arthropoda, Insecta, Lepidoptera, Lycaenidae. The record is from RefSeq and is a predicted model, not a curated record.
UAUGAAGUAUUAAUUAACCGCCGCACUCAGAUACAUUUAAUGACUAAACUUCAAUUUAAUGAAGAGUUUAACAGAUAACGUAUG